Long non-coding RNA from Hibiscus syriacus, 269 nucleotides. RefSeq lists it as uncharacterized. Lineage: Eukaryota; Viridiplantae; Streptophyta; Magnoliopsida; Malvales; Malvaceae. The record is from RefSeq and is a predicted model, not a curated record. The transcript has 2 exons.
UUUGAAAAAGAAGAGAAAAAAUAUCCAAACUUGUAUCUCUUUGUUUCUGAGUGAACAUAAAUAUAAUGCAGUCUUUUUGAACUGUUUUGUUUUGUAAUUUUUCUUUUUUCCUGUUUCGCAAUUGAGCGUUGUCCAAUUUCGCUGCUGAUAAGAGGAUUUCUGGAUUCGGAUUUUCAAGUUGACAGAGAGGGUUGAACAAAUUUCUAGAAAAUAGGUUUUCAACUUUGGUGCCUGACAAUGGGAAACAAUGAUGAGGGAAAGUCUAAGUC